Molecule: ribosomal RNA, 277 nt
Filed under: uncultured bacterium
Lineage: Bacteria
Description: partial 16S ribosomal RNA
Rfam family: Bacterial small subunit ribosomal RNA
Source: RNAcentral
GACGAACGCUGACGGUGUGCUUUAGACAUGCAAGUCGAACGAGAAAGCCCUUCGGGGUGAGUACAGUGGCGAACGGGUGCGUAACACGUGGGCAACCUGCCCCUCGCAGGGGGACAACCGGGGGAAACUCCGGCUAAUACCCCGUACGCUUGUCGAGCCGCAUGGCUCUUCAAGGAAAGGUAGCUUCGGCCAUCCGGCGAGGGAUGGGCCCGCGGUCCAUUAGCUAGUUGGUGGGGUAACGGCCCACCAAGGCGACGAUGGAUAGCUGGUCUGAGAG